GGGUUGUGAGGUUAAGCGACUAAGCGUACACGGUGGAUGCCCUGGCAGUCAGAGGCGAUGAAGGGCGUGCUAAUCUGCGAUAAGCGCCGGUAAGGUGAUAUGAACCGUUAUAACCGGCGAUACCCGAAUGGGGAAACCCAGUGUGAUUCGUCACACUAUCAUUAACUGAAUCCAUAGGUUAAUGAGGCGAACCGGGGGAACUGAAACAUCUAAGUACCCCGAGGAAAAGAAAUCAACCGAGAUUCCCCCAGUAGCGGCGAGCGAACGGGGAGGAGCCCAGAGCCUGAAUCAGCAUGUGUGUUAGUGGAAGCGUCUGGAAAGGCGCGCGAUACAGGGUGACAGCCCCGUACACAAAAGCGCAUGUGCUGUGAGCUCGAUGAGUAGGGCGGGACACGUGGUAUCCUGUCUGAAUAUGGGGGGACCAUCCUCCAAGGCUAAAUACUCCUGACUGACCGAUAGUGAACCAGUACCGUGAGGGAAAGGCGAAAAGAACCCCGGCGAGGGGAGUGAAAAAGAACCUGAAACCGUGUACGUACAAGCAGUGGGAGCACAGGUUUACCUGUGUGACUGCGUACCUUUUGUAUAAUGGGUCAGCGACUUAUAUUCUGUAGCAAGGUUAACCGAAUAGGGGAGCCGCAGGGAAACCGAGUCUUAAUUGGGCGUUAAGUUGCAGGGUAUAGACCCGAAACCCGGUGAUCUAGCCAUGGGCAGGUUGAAGGUUGGGUAACACUAACUGGAGGACCGAACCGACUAAUGUUGAAAAAUUAGCGGAUGACCUGUGGCU
RNAcentral lists this ribosomal RNA (784 nucleotides) under Salmonella enterica. Its description in RNAcentral is "bacterial LSU rRNA". It matches the Rfam family "Bacterial large subunit ribosomal RNA", at positions 1 to 816 of the family's 2925-position model. The record is from RNAcentral. Lineage: Bacteria; Pseudomonadati; Pseudomonadota; Gammaproteobacteria; Enterobacterales; Enterobacteriaceae.